Molecule: unclassified non-coding RNA, 704 nt
Filed under: Hevea brasiliensis (rubber tree)
Lineage: Eukaryota; Viridiplantae; Streptophyta; Magnoliopsida; Malpighiales; Euphorbiaceae
Source: RNAcentral
UACACCAUUGACUAAUUUAUUUAUGUGCCCAUGCUAUUAACUAGAUCUUUUCGAAUGCAAACAGGGAACAUGUUGAUGUUCUUUAACAAUUUCAACCGCCAUAGUACAUAUGGGAAAACUGAUCCCUAGAAGUGAAGCGAACAACUUCAUUAAACCAGAGGCACAUAAAUAAAUUAGUCAAUGGUGUAUGCUCCCUCACGAUGACAGAAGCUUCAUUCAAAGCCUUCUUUCCAUUAAAUCUCUUGUCCUCAGGCAAGCCAUCCUGCCGGUAUUGAGUCAACUGCACCUCAACUUCUUCUGGGGAGGCUUUGUGUUUCUUCACAACAGCUGUAGCCUCCUCAUACACAUUGCUGCGAGCUCCAUGUUGUGAAAUUGCUAAUACAGAAUUUGACCGCCAAAGAAGGGCUUCUAGAACACCAAGAGGGUCCCUCCUAAAUUGGGAUUUUGAGUCUACCCAAAUAGAGAACAUGGCAUGAGGAAAGAGACGAUGCCCCAACAUCUGAUUGCAGCAGGAGUGAAUAUAAAUCCUUAAAACAAUUCAAACAGCAGAAUACUCCAAAAAUUGAAAUUUACAGGCAUGCACUGACACAGCGACAAAGAAAAGCAGAUUACAUGAUACCAUCUUAUAGAAUGAAUAACCAAAGAACCAUGCAUGACAGUAAUGAACAUAAGAAUCAGUAUCACCUUUCUGUUAUGUAACCAGA